GUCUGGUUCCGGUUUUCCCCUGGGCACUCUGAAUACAUGUCCCGAGAAGGUUCCUGUGGACAGACGGGCGCUGCUUGAUUGAGAUCGCUGUCAUUAUAUUCCCAAGGACUGGGGACAUCCAGCAGGGAGGCUUGACACCUGGUGGUGGGUAUUUGUGUCUCUGUUCC
Megalops cyprinoides (Indo-Pacific tarpon) is the source of this 167-nucleotide long non-coding RNA. RefSeq lists it as uncharacterized. The record is from RefSeq and is a predicted model, not a curated record. The transcript is spliced from 3 exons. Lineage: Eukaryota; Metazoa; Chordata; Actinopteri; Elopiformes; Megalopidae.